This 552-nucleotide long non-coding RNA is filed under the name Physcomitrium patens. RNAcentral describes it as "long non-coding RNA (PPAT_LNC014978)". Lineage: Eukaryota; Viridiplantae; Streptophyta; Bryopsida; Funariales; Funariaceae. The record is from RNAcentral.
GCAGUUUGAAGUUGGAUAGGAUUUCUAUGAUAUCUAAAGAUUUACUAAUUGGAUCAAGGUGAAAUUUGGCAUAGUCUUAAAAGACUUCAAUGUUUAUCUACUUACAAAUUUCGAAUUAAAAUUAACAGUUGAAAAAGGAGAAAUCACUACUAAGACAUCUGCAUUAACUUUCAAGUUGGUAGCCAAGUAUUAUUAAUGUAGUUUUUGAGCUUUUUCUCACAAUCUAUAAAUUAGAUUGAAUUUUUUGGAGCAUAUAGAAGACUUAAAGUGGAAUUUUUGUACAAAAUUUUACACCAAAUAGAUGAUUAGAUUAAGAAAUAUAGCUUGCUAAAACUUACUAAUUAUAGUUAGGACUUGCAAAGAAAAAUAAAAAUAGCCUAAUUAUAAAAGUAAUAAGGCAACUAAAAUUUACAAAUAGUUGAGGUUACUAAAGAGAGUAUUUUUGAGUACUUUGUAUUAGCUUUAAGUACUAUUGAAUUGAAAUUUGAAUUACUUUGUAUUAAGAUGGUUAAAAUCUAUUAGAAUUUUUUUAAUAUUUGUAAAAUAUAAUUU